Molecule: ribosomal RNA, 293 nt
Filed under: uncultured bacterium
Lineage: Bacteria
Description: partial 16S ribosomal RNA
Rfam family: Bacterial small subunit ribosomal RNA
Source: RNAcentral
GUGCCAGCAGCCGCGGUAAUACGUAGGGGGCAAGCGUUGUCCGGAAUUAUUGGGCGUAAAGCGCGCGCAGGCGGCUUCUUAAGUCAGGUGUGAAAGCCCACGGCUCAACCGUGGAGGGCCACUUGAAACUGGGAAGCUUGAGUGCAGGAGAGGAGAGCGGAAUUCCACGUGUAGCGGUGAAAUGCGUAGAGAUGUGGAGGAACACCCGUGGCGAAGGCGGCUCUCUGGCCUGUAACUGACGCUGAGGCGCGAAAGCGUGGGGAGCGAACAGGAUUAGAAACCCUAGUAGUCCA